This 253-nucleotide ribosomal RNA is filed under the name uncultured bacterium. Its description in RNAcentral is "partial 16S ribosomal RNA". It matches the Rfam family "Bacterial small subunit ribosomal RNA", at positions 524 to 776 of the family's 1533-position model. The record is from RNAcentral.
UACGUAGGGGGCAAGCGUUAUCCGGAAUUACUGGGUGUAAAGGGAGCGUAGACGGUAAUGUAAGUCUGGAGUGAAAGGCGGGGGCCCAACCCCCGGACUACUCUGGAAACUAUGUUACUAGAGUGCAGGAGAGGUAAGCGGAAUUCCUAGUGUAGCGGUGAAAUACGUAGAUAUUAGGAGGAACACCAGUGGCGAAGGCGGCUUACUGGACUGUAACUGACGUUGAGGCUCGAAAGCGUGGGGAGCAAACAGG